AUGCGGUAGCCAAGAGCUUAACCCUGGAGACAAGACGCUUUCUCAAGAAUUUUCUGUGCAGCAAGUUCAUCCUGCAUCUGAAGUACAGACAGUCCUUGUGGUGAACAUCCUUGGAGGUGAGGUAGUUUACACUAAAGAAGGUGCAAUGCUGUCUCUAGGGAAUGGUGCAACGUGGUUGGCAACAGCAGCAAAAGACUUAAAAGCAUAUGAAGGUGUUCACUUUGGAGUCAGUGCUACCAGUGGCUGGAUCAAAGGUGUUUCUUCCUGCUUUCAUAUCAAGGAGUGCCCCAUUAUGGGUUUGAAGUGUUGAAAGGAAUCAUUCUGGGUCAGAUGGAUGAAGUGACCAGUUGGUGAAAGCACUGUUGCCAGCACUAUCUACUCCAUGUUUCCAGCUGAAGAGGGCAUACUAAUACCCUAUCCUUGGAGCAACCAAGUGAAAAUUGAUGAUUCAAAGAAAUGUCGCCUUUGUCCACCUAGCCAUCAUGGAGCUGAAGAAUCUGGGUCAGCAAAUUCUGGGCAACUACCUAGUGCAUUUU
Candoia aspera is the source of this 536-nucleotide long non-coding RNA. RefSeq lists it as uncharacterized. Lineage: Eukaryota; Metazoa; Chordata; Lepidosauria; Squamata; Candoiidae. The transcript is spliced from 4 exons. The record is from RefSeq and is a predicted model, not a curated record.